Long non-coding RNA from Danio aesculapii, 247 nucleotides. RefSeq lists it as uncharacterized. The record is from RefSeq and is a predicted model, not a curated record. The transcript is spliced from 3 exons. Lineage: Eukaryota; Metazoa; Chordata; Actinopteri; Cypriniformes; Danionidae.
AGAACAUCCACAUAAACCCUGAAAUUGUUCAGUAUUCUCUCAAACAGCCGUUUGAGUCACCUCAAAUGUAGCAGUGGGCCAGAUUGAAACGGUCCGAUGCACUUCACUUGCAAUGUAGAUCAUCAUUUCUGGACAGCUUUCUACUUACUGCUGUGGACAUGAAAGGAUCGUCCUAGGCUUGCCCAUGCUGAUGGGCUGCACCACAGCAGUACUGGAGCUGAAUUCCUGUUAGAAAACAUCUUCAGGA